Beta vulgaris subsp. vulgaris (sugar beet) is the source of this 387-nucleotide long non-coding RNA. RefSeq lists it as uncharacterized. The record is from RefSeq and is a predicted model, not a curated record. Lineage: Eukaryota; Viridiplantae; Streptophyta; Magnoliopsida; Caryophyllales; Amaranthaceae. The transcript has 3 exons.
AAGUCUACCACUUUGAUUCUUUGCGUAAAGGAACAAUACGGUCCUUACUAGUCAAAUCAUUGUUAAAUAGUGUGAUGAAGAAGAUUACUUCAUCUGGACUUCGACAAGGAAAAGCUCCUGUUUGGUAUUUAGUCGAGUGUCCGGUACAAGAAGGUGGACUUGCGUGUGGGUAUUACGUCAUGAGGUUCAUGCUCGAUAUCGUCAACUAUUGCAAAGAUGUUGUUGAUCUUCGAAAGGUAUGUAACUUUUAGGUUUCCAAUUGUUGUUUGUUGUAUUUCCGGCCUAUUUUAGCCUUUUCGCUCCCAAAAUGUAGUUAUGAUGUGAUUUAACCUCAAAUUCUCUUUGAACAUGAUUAUAUGAGGCAUAUUAUAACUAGUAUGUAGAUUC